GACGAACGCUGGCGGCGUGCUUAACACAUGCAAGUCGAACGCUGAAGCUCAGCUUUUGUUGGGUGGAUGAGUGGCGAACGGGUGAGUAACACGUGAGUAACCUGCCCCCUUCUUUGGGAUAACGCCCGGAAACGGGUGCUAAUACUGGAUAUUCACUGGUCUUCGCAUGGGGGUUGGUGGAAAGGGUUUUUCUGGUGGGGGAUGGGCUCGCGGCCUAUCAGCUUGUUGGUGGGGUGAUGGCCUACCAAGGCUUUGACGGGUAGCCGGCCUGAGAGGGUGACCGGUCACAUUGGGACUGAGAUACGGCCCAGACUCCUACGGGAGGCAGAAGUGGGGAAUAUUGCACAAUGGGCGCAAGACUGAUGCAGCGACGCCGCGUGAGGGAUGGAGGCCUUCGGGUUGUGAACCUCUUUCGCUCAUGGUCAAGCCGCAACAAUGGUUGUGGUGAGGGUAGUGGGUAAAGAAGCGCCGGCUAACUACGUG
This 483-nucleotide ribosomal RNA is filed under the name uncultured bacterium. RNAcentral describes it as "partial 16S ribosomal RNA". It matches the Rfam family "Bacterial small subunit ribosomal RNA", at positions 28 to 507 of the family's 1533-position model. The record is from RNAcentral.